CGGAGUGUAGCGCAGCCUGGUAGCGCACCUCGUUCGGGACGAGGGUCGCAGGUUCAAAUCCUGCCACUCCGACCA
This 75-nucleotide transfer RNA is filed under the name Alphaproteobacteria bacterium. RNAcentral describes it as "tRNA-Pro". It matches the Rfam family "tRNA". From Rfam's summary of the family: Transfer RNA (tRNA) molecules are approximately 80 nucleotides in length. Lineage: Bacteria; Pseudomonadati; Pseudomonadota; Alphaproteobacteria. The record is from RNAcentral.